GAUGAACGCUGGCGGCGUGCCUAAUACAUGCAAGUCGAGCGAACAGACGAGGAGCUUGCUCCUCUGACGUUAGCGGCGGACGGGUGAGUAACACGUGGAUAACCUACCUAUAAGACUGGGAUAACUUCGGGAAACCGGAGCUAAUACCGGAUAAUAUAUUGAACCGCAUGGUUCAAUAGUGAAAGACGGUUUUGCUGUCACCUAUAGAUGGAUCCGCGCCGCAUUAGCUAGUUGGUAAGGUAACGGCUUACCAAGGCAACGAUGCGUAGCCGACCUGAGAGGGUGAUCGGCCACACUGGAACUGAGACACGGUCCAGACUCCUACGGGAGGCAGCAGUAGGGAAUCUUGCGCAAUGGGCGAAAGCCUGACGGAGCAACGACGCGUGAGUGAUGAAGGUCUUCGGAUCGUAAAACUCUGUUAUUAGGGAAGAACAAAUGUGUAAGUAACUAUGCACGUCUUGACGGUACCUAAUCAGAAAGCCACGGCUAACUACGUG
RNAcentral lists this ribosomal RNA (497 nucleotides) under uncultured bacterium. RNAcentral describes it as "partial 16S ribosomal RNA". It matches the Rfam family "Bacterial small subunit ribosomal RNA", at positions 28 to 507 of the family's 1533-position model. The record is from RNAcentral.